RNAcentral lists this ribosomal RNA (274 nucleotides) under uncultured bacterium. RNAcentral's name for it is "partial 16S ribosomal RNA". It matches the Rfam family "Bacterial small subunit ribosomal RNA", at positions 523 to 796 of the family's 1533-position model. The record is from RNAcentral.
AUACGAAGGUGGCAAGCGUUGUUCGGAAUAACUGGGCGUAAAGCGCACGUAGGCGGAAUGUUAAGUUAGAGGUGAAAUCCCAGGGCUCAACCCUGGAACUGCCUUUAAUACUGGCAAUCUAGAGACCGAGAGAGGUGAGUGGAAUUCCGAGUGUAGAGGUGAAAUUCGUAGAUAUUCGGAGGAACACCAGUGGCGAAGGCGGCUCACUGGCUCGGUACUGACGCUGAGGUGCGAAAGCGUGGGGAGCAAACAGGAUUAGAUACCCUAGUAGUCC